AACGAACGCUGGCGGCAUGCCUAACACAUGCAAGUCGAACGAAGUCUUCGGACUUAGUGGCGCACGGGUGCGUAACGCGUGGGAAUCUGCCCUUGGGUGCGGAAUAACUUUUCGAAAGGGAUGCUAAUACCGCAUAAUGUCGUAAGACCAAAGAUUUAUCGCCCAAGGAUGAGCCCGCGUAAGAUUAGCUAGUUGGUGGGGUAAAAAGCCUACCAAGGCGACGAUCUUUAGCUGGUCUGAGAGGAUGAUCAGCCACACUGGGACUGAGACACGGCCCAGACUCCUACGGGAGGCAGCAGUGGGGGAAUAUUGGACAACGGGUGAAAGCCCGAUCCAGCAAUGCCGCGUGAGUGAUGAAGGCCCUAGGGUUGUAAAGCUCUUUUACCAGGGAUGAUAAUGACAGUACCGGGAGAAUAAGCUCCGGCUAACUCCGUGCCAGCAGCCGCGGUAAU
Molecule: ribosomal RNA, 452 nt
Filed under: uncultured bacterium
Lineage: Bacteria
Description: bacterial SSU rRNA
Rfam family: Bacterial small subunit ribosomal RNA
Source: RNAcentral